AUUGAACGCUGGCGGCAUGCUUUACACAUGCAAGUCGAACGGUAACAGGCCGCAAGGUGCUGACGAGUGGCGAACGGGUGAGUAAUGCAUCGGAACGUGCCCAGUCGUGGGGGAUAACGCAGCGAAAGCUGCGCUAAUACCGCAUACGAUCUAUGGAUGAAAGCGGGGGACCGUAAGGCCUCGCGCGAUUGGAGCGGCCGAUGUCAGAUUAGGUAGUUGGUGGGGUAAAGGCUCACCAAGCCAACGAUCUGUAGCCGGUCUGAGAGGACGACCAGCCACACUGGGACUGAGACACGGCCCAGACUCCUACGGGAGGCAGCAGUGGGGAAUUUUGGACAAUGGGCGCAAGCCUGAUCCAGCAAUGCCGCGUGCAGGAAGAAGGCCUUCGGGUUGUAAACUGCUUUUGUACGGAACGAAAAGGCUCUGGAUAAUACCUGGGGCUCAUGACGGUACCGUAAGAAUAAGCACCGGCUAACUACGUGCCAGCCGCCGCCGUAA
RNAcentral lists this ribosomal RNA (498 nucleotides) under uncultured bacterium. Its description in RNAcentral is "partial 16S ribosomal RNA". It matches the Rfam family "Bacterial small subunit ribosomal RNA", at positions 29 to 523 of the family's 1533-position model. The record is from RNAcentral.